AUUGAACGCUGGCGGUAGGCCUAACACAUGCAAGUCGAACGGCAGCACAGUAAGAGCUUGCUCUUACGGGUGGCGAGUGGCGGACGGGUGCGGAAUACAUCGGAAUCUACUUUUUCGUGGGGGAUAACGUAGGGAAACUUACGCUAAUACCGCAUACGACCUACGGGUGAAAGCAGGGGAUCUUCGGACCUUGCGCGAUUGAAUGAGCCGAUGUCGGAUUAGCUAGUUGGCGGGGUAAAGGCCCACCAAGGCGACGAUCCGUAGCUGGUCUGAGAGGAUGAUCAGCCACACUGGAACUGAGACACGGUCCAGACUCCUACGGGAGGCAGCAGUGGGGAAUAUUGGACAAUGGGCGCAAGCCUGAUCCAGCCAUACCGCGUGGGUGAAGAAGGCCUUCGGGUUGUAAAGCCCUUUUGUUGGGAAAGAAAAGCAGCAGGUUAAUACCCCGCUGUUCUGACGGUACCCAAAGAAUAAGCACCGGCUAACUUCGUG
RNAcentral lists this ribosomal RNA (492 nucleotides) under uncultured bacterium. RNAcentral describes it as "partial 16S ribosomal RNA". It matches the Rfam family "Bacterial small subunit ribosomal RNA", at positions 30 to 507 of the family's 1533-position model. The record is from RNAcentral.